Molecule: long non-coding RNA, 132 nt
Organism: Bufo bufo (common toad)
Lineage: Eukaryota; Metazoa; Chordata; Amphibia; Anura; Bufonidae
Exons: 3
Source: RefSeq, a predicted model, not a curated record
AGGUCUGGACCAUUAUAUCUGGGGAGGAGGGGGGAGCAGGACCCUGGAGGUCUGGACCAUUAUAUUUAGGGAGGAGGGAGGAGCAGGAUCCUGGAGGUCUGGACCAUUAUAUAUGGGGAGGGGGAGCAGGAC